CAAGAGCGUGUUCAUACUUACGGGCUCUAUUACAAUUAUCACAUUCACUUCAGGGAAUGGAUCAUAAUCAUCUGUAUGUGCUAUACACAAUCCUAUGUCAAAUAUUACUUUCAUAAAGUGAAAGAUUAUUUUGAGAAUCACUAUUGUUCUCAUUACCACAAUAAUGACGAUUAUAAUUUCGUCUAUUGCCACGUCCACAUUCA
This 203-nucleotide long non-coding RNA is filed under the name Nicotiana benthamiana. RNAcentral's name for it is "long non-coding RNA (NBEN_LNC013929)". Lineage: Eukaryota; Viridiplantae; Streptophyta; Magnoliopsida; Solanales; Solanaceae. The record is from RNAcentral.